Long non-coding RNA from Prionailurus viverrinus (fishing cat), 1334 nucleotides. RefSeq lists it as uncharacterized. Lineage: Eukaryota; Metazoa; Chordata; Mammalia; Carnivora; Felidae. The transcript is spliced from 4 exons. The record is from RefSeq and is a predicted model, not a curated record.
CCGCGGGACUCGCUAGCCUCUGGCCGCGCGCACCGGGCUGCAGUUGGAGGGACCAGGCGUCGCCUCGCUCGGUGGGACCGGCCACGACCGCGGCGUGGGCGCCCAACCGCCGCCUCAGCGCCCUGGGUCCUCCGCCCUUUCCCUUGGGUCCCCGAGGGCGGCGCCUGUCGCACGCGAGUCCCGGCAGCCGGGACCCUCCGAUGGGGGACCGGGCUCAGCGGCGGGGCCAGCCAGGUUCGGCCGGAUGAGGGGGACGUGGGGGAGCUGGCCCCGGGAGGUUGAGCCCCAGGUCGCCGGGCAGGCGGCAGCGGGGCCAGCGUCCAGGUGCUGAGCGACACGGGACAGAGCGGCCCCGGGCGCCAGAGCCCCCGGGCGCGUCUCUCCAAGCGCCGCCACAGAGGACAGCAGUUAGGCCGGCGCCCCGCCGCCGCGUGCGGGUGGCCCAGGGCCCGGGACAGCCACCUCCAGAUGCUUCACGGGGUGGCCCGGCAUCCCGGAGCCGGCGGCGGCGCGGCCGCCCGGGGAAGCUGAGCCCGCGGCACCCGCAGCUGGGCCGCCGGGAUCCUGCGGUGGCACCCAGGUGCCCCGACCUGCCUGCCCGCCGCCCCCACGUCAGCCGGUCCGGGAGGGCAGGGCCUCUUCACUUAGCUCUACGCAUGUGGGCACACGGUCUUCAAGGCCCAGAACUUGCCUCGGCUCGCCCAGGUGGUGGCGGCCCUGCCAGGGCUUGACCAGGGCUGCCUGGCACACCUGGAACCAUCAGAUCCUGGCGAGUCCUCGUCAUGCGCACGUCACGAAUGACUUCGUUGUGUUCUGUUUCGAUGGUGCUUAGGGCGCUCGGCGCCGGGGCACACGAGUGAUGGAUGAGCGCCCCGGAGGGCCAACUCGGGGGCACUUGCAAGUGCGCCUUGGGCACACCGGGCCUCCGUCUCUCAGAAGAUGAGGGCGGGGCCACGCGUGGUCAGAACAUCUCGGUGGCAGGUUGCUCCCGGAACUGAGUCGCGCAGCAAACCCAGCGGCUGUCAGUGAGGCGUCUUCUCCCAGUGGGAAGACUGGCGUCUUUGCAAAAAUUACUUAAACAAAUGUAAACUGACAACUCUGGAAGUACCUUUGAAAGGUGGGUCCUCAGAAGGGCCAUGAAGACGUCUCUCUAUUCUCUGCACUUAUGCACCUUGCCUGAGGAAGCCUGGGUGACAACUGAAGUGAACUUUGCAAGGUGAACAGUAGUCCCUCUGACAGAUGAGCAUGGGCACCAUUCUUCCUUCCUGCAGCCCAGGUGGAUUUUUGUCUCAUCUUCUUUUAUCUGGUGCUCUUUGCGUCUCCUUGGGAGUAUU